AAGUAAGGUGAUUUAUCCAAAUCGAACUAUUCUUUCGUCUUUUAUUAAAGAAUACCGUGUGCUCACUGCACUGAGUGGCAUACGCCAAUUUUUUUCUUUUAUUUGUCCAGAAAG
Punica granatum (pomegranate) is the source of this 114-nucleotide non-coding RNA. NCBI's taxonomy places the organism in Eukaryota, Viridiplantae, Streptophyta, Magnoliopsida, Myrtales, Lythraceae. The record is from Rfam.